Molecule: ribosomal RNA, 1421 nt
Filed under: Enterobacter hormaechei
Lineage: Bacteria; Pseudomonadati; Pseudomonadota; Gammaproteobacteria; Enterobacterales; Enterobacteriaceae
Description: partial 23S ribosomal RNA
Rfam family: Bacterial large subunit ribosomal RNA
Source: RNAcentral
CCAGGUAAAUCCGGUACCUUAUUAACGCUGAGGUGUGAUGACGAGGCACUACGGUGCUGAAGUGAUAAAUGCCCUGCUUCCAGGAAAAGCCUCUAAGCAUCAGGUAACACGAAAUCGUACCCCAAACCGACACAGGUGGUCAGGUAGAGAAUACCAAGGCGCUUGAGAGAACUCGGGUGAAGGAACUAGGCAAAAUGGUGCCGUAACUUCGGGAGAAGGCACGCUGAUAUGUAGGUGAAGCCCCUGCGGGCGGAGCUGAAAUCAGUCGAAGAUACCAGCUGGCUGCAACUGUUUAUUAAAAACACAGCACUGUGCAAACACGAAAGUGGACGUAUACGGUGUGACGCCUGCCCGGUGCCGGAAGGUUAAUUGAUGGGGUUAGCGGCAACGCGAAGCUCUUGAUCGAAGCCCCGGUAAACGGCGGCCGUAACUAUAACGGUCCUAAGGUAGCGAAAUUCCUUGUCGGGUAAGUUCCGACCUGCACGAAUGGCGUAAUGAUGGCCAGGCUGUCUCCACCCGAGACUCAGUGAAAUUGAACUCGCUGUGAAGAUGCAGUGUACCCGCGGCAAGACGGAAAGACCCCGUGAACCUUUACUAUAGCUUGACACUGAACACUGGUCCUUGAUGUGUAGGAUAGGUGGGAGGCUUUGAAGCGUGGACGCCAGUCUGCGUGGAGCCGCCCUUGAAAUACCACCCUUUAAUGGCUGGUGUUCUAACGUAGACCCGUGAUCCGGGUUGCGGACAGUGUCUGGUGGGUAGUUUGACUGGGGCGGUCUCCUCCCAAAGAGUAACGGAGGAGCACGAAGGUUGGCUAAUCCUGGUCGGACAUCAGGAGGUUAGUGCAAUGGCAUAAGCCAGCUUGACUGCGAGCGUGACGGCGCGAGCAGGUGCGAAAGCAGGUCAUAGUGAUCCGGUGGUUCUGAAUGGAAGGGCCAUCGCUCAACGGAUAAAAGGUACUCCGGGGAUAACAGGCUGAUACCGCCCAAGAGUUCAUAUCGACGGCGGUGUUUGGCACCUCGAUGUCGGCUCAUCACAUCCUGGGGCUGAAGUAGGUCCCAAGGGUAUGGCUGUUCGCCAUUUAAAGUGGUACGCGAGCUGGGUUUAGAACGUCGUGAGACAGUUCGGUCCCUAUCUGCCGUGGGCGCUGGAGAAUUGAGGGGGGCUGCUCCUAGUACGAGAGGACCGGAGUGGACGCAUCACUGGUGUUCGGGUUGUCAUGCCAAUGGCACUGCCCGGUAGCUAAAUGCGGAAGAGAUAAGUGCUGAAAGCAUCUAAGCACGAAACUUGCCCCGAGAUGAGUUCUCCCUGAGACCUUGAGUCUCCUGAAGGAACGUUGAAGACGACGACGUUGAUAGGUCGGGUGUGUAAGCGCAGCGAUGCGUUGAGCUAACCGAUACUAAUGAACCGUGAGGCUUAACCUU